ACCGAGGCAACCCCUCAAACCCUAGCUGCCUUCUCGUUUCUUCCCCUGCGCCGCCGCCAUCCCUUUCCUCUCUUCCACGCAACGAAGCAAACUUUUCCCAAUCAAAUUCAGAGUUUCAGAGAAUACCUCCGCCACAGCAUCGCCGUCGCGCCGUCGUCUCCGGCCACCUCUCGACAAGCUGAUGCCACAUCUAGCUCCGCCUUGACGCACUACAUCUCGUCGACCAAAGAACGCAGCAAACAGAGCUCGAAAUCGACAGCAAGGACCACUUCUCCAUCUCCGCCGCCGGCAGAAAUCCUGUGUUUCUGGCCGCCUCCGACCUCGUCCGCCCCCGCCGAGGUGUUCAUCAGCUUCUUGGUGAGAUGGUGUCCCUUUUCCCCAUCUUUCCCGUCCUUUUUGCUCACUGCUCGCCGCCGCUUAUUUCUGACGGAGCUGUCAUCUGCUGUUGUCCGAGCGCAUCUCCGCCAUGGUCGGCUGCAAGCCUGCUUGCCGCUCGUGCUCGUCCCUGAUGGACUCCUUCCUGGCCUACCUCGUUCUCUGCCGACAGCCUCCUGCUGAAGUCUUCUUCGUCAGUUCGUGUUCCUCCGCACCUUGUGCAGGUCUAGUCUGCAUCUUGGAUGUCGUUAAAAUUCCCAAAUUCCCAGAUGCAUUUGCUUCUUCCCGGAUAGGAUCACGAAGUAUUGAUGUGAGAUACGAC
Molecule: long non-coding RNA, 697 nt
Organism: Lolium rigidum
Lineage: Eukaryota; Viridiplantae; Streptophyta; Magnoliopsida; Poales; Poaceae
Exons: 3
Source: RefSeq, a predicted model, not a curated record